CCGGGGCGACAGCAAUAUGAAGGUCAGGCUGAAGACCUUACCCGAUUAGCUGAGAGGUGGUGCAUGGCCGUCGUCAGUUCGUACUGUGAAGCAUCCUGUUAAGUCAGGCAACGAGCGAGACCCACGUCCACAGUUGCCAGCAUACCCUCCGGGGUGAUGGGUACACUGUGGAGACCGCCGCUGCUAAAGCGGAGGAAGGAGUGGGCAACGGUAGGUCAGUAUGCCCCGAAUCUCCCGGGCUACACGCGGGCUACAAUGGUUGGUACAAUGGGCAUCUACCCCGAAAGGGGAAGGAAAUCUCUUAAAGCCAAUCGUAGUUCGGAUUGGGGGCUGCAACUCGCCCUCAUGAAGCUGGAAUCCGUAGUAAUCGCGUUUCAACAGAACGCGGUGAAUACGUCCCUGCUCCUU
This 408-nucleotide ribosomal RNA is filed under the name uncultured Methanosaeta sp. RNAcentral's name for it is "bacterial SSU rRNA". It matches the Rfam family "Archaeal small subunit ribosomal RNA", at positions 931 to 1338 of the family's 1478-position model. The record is from RNAcentral. Lineage: Archaea; Methanobacteriati; Methanobacteriota; Methanomicrobia; Methanotrichales; Methanotrichaceae.